GUGCUCGCUUUGGCAGCACAUAUACUAAAAUUGGAACGGUACAGAGGAGAUUAGCAUGGCCCAUGCAGAAGGAUGACACACAAAUUCAUGAAGCGUUCCAUAUUUUU
Molecule: small nuclear RNA, 107 nt
Organism: Mesocricetus auratus (golden hamster)
Lineage: Eukaryota; Metazoa; Chordata; Mammalia; Rodentia; Cricetidae
Source: Ensembl